GUAGGUGAACCUGCGGAAGGAUCAUUAACACGUAUCCACGUUCAACCCCCUGUGCACUAUGACAUAACAUUGACGAGCCAGUCCAUUACUACUAAGUAUUUGAUAGUAAGGAGAUCUCCUUCAGGAUGAGCUCCGAGCGGUUGGAGAACAGGAAUUUGGUGGUGAGUUAGUGACUAGUUGGAAGUUUUCACCCCCCAAAACAAAAGUGAUAAAAAGUACAUUUCCGUUCUUCGUGAGCAGAAAUAUACGCAACUUCGAACAACUGUUAGCAAUGGAUAUCUUGGUUCUC
Molecule: unclassified non-coding RNA, 289 nt
Filed under: rhizosphere metagenome
Description: partial ribosomal RNA internal transcribed spacer region
Source: RNAcentral